UAACUUUCAAGUUUCAACUAUAAUUGGACCUUUUCCGGACCCUGGGUCAGACCACACUUUAUAAUUCGGGCUAGGGACCGAGACCGACUAUUUCCACUCUCCCCGUUACAACAACCACGUUUAUACUAAUAUGUGUAAAUUUGAAUUAGUUAUUAUAAUUAAGGGUGAGCAUUCGGUUAAUAAUCGAACCGAACAAGAAAUUCGGUUAUGAUCAAUAUUCAAAAAUGGCCUAUUUUAACUAUCCGAAUAAAUAACCGAAAUGUACACUAACCGAAUAACCCGGUUAUUCGGUUAAUAACCUUCGGUUAUUCGGUUAAUAACCGAAUAACAAGCCUUAAAAAAAUUAACAAAAGGGGAAGAAAAUAGACAAAAGUAUAGUUCUCUUUCGGACAUUCUCCAGUCUAUAAUCACCUUCCCAUGUCAGUCCUGAUCCAUAACCUAUCAUUUUUUGCUCAUCCCAGAUCCACACCCACCACGGCGGCGACACCACUUUAAAAUCAAGGAAAUGAUAUUCUUUAAACAGACAAAAUUAUAAGCUGAAAGUGAUUGGGGGUUCGAUGGGGGCGUCGUUGUCGAACCUGAUGACCGAAGGUUCGGCCACGGGAGGACCAGGGCUGGGAGACAUACCGGAGAGCUGCGUGGCAUGCGUUUUUCUUCUACUUAAAUCCGCCGGAGAUCUGCAUGACCCUCUUCGUCGCGGCGUCGCCUUAAUCGUCGGAAAAGGGGCCGAAUCUCGUAGCUCCGAACUAAAGGUGUGACAGAUCUGAGUUUGAGAGAGAGAGAGAGGGUUUGAAGGAUCUGAGUUUGAGACUUGAGAAGGGUAUGAGAGAAUUUCAGAUCUGAGACUUAGCUGUUUUACCUCCGACCUUAAGUUUCCAGAGAGAGAAAGCUAGUGGGAGAGAGAAAGCUAGUGAGAGAGAGAGAAAUCUGAAAUUUGAGUUUCAGAUUGAGACAGAUUCGGGGGUGAGUAUUAUUUUAAGUUAAGUGCUUUUGAUCGGUU
Molecule: long non-coding RNA, 1000 nt
Filed under: Panax ginseng (ginseng)
Lineage: Eukaryota; Viridiplantae; Streptophyta; Magnoliopsida; Apiales; Araliaceae
Description: long non-coding RNA (PGIN_LNC016562)
Source: RNAcentral